AAGCGGAGGAAAAGAAACUAACAAGGAUUCCCCUAGUAACGGCGAGUGAAGCGGGAAGAGCUCAAAUUUGUAAUCUGGCACUUUCAGUGUCCGAGUUGUAAUCUCGAGAAGUGUUUUCCGCGCCGGACCGCAUACAAGUCUGUUGGAAUACAGCGUCAUAGUGGUGAGAACCCCGUAACUGAUGCGGAUGCCCGGUGCUUUGUGAUACACUUUCGAAGAGUCGAGUUGUUUGGGAAUGCAGCUCAAAUUGGGUGGUAAAUUCCAUCUAAAGCUAAAUAUUGGCGAGAGACCGAUAGCGAACAAGUACCGUGAGGGAAAGAUGAAAAGCACUUUGGAAAGAGAGUUAACAGUACGUGAAAUUGUUGGAAGGGAAACGCUUGAAGUCAGACUUGCUAUUUGGAAUUCAGCCGCAAGGUGUACUUUUCAAUUCGCAGGCCAGCAUCAGUUUUCGGGGGUGGAAAAGGGUAGAGAGAAGGUAGCAAUUUCGGUUGUGUUAUAGCUCCUUGCUGGAUUCAUCCUUGGGGACUGAGGAACGCAGCACGCUUUUUGCAAGGCUUUCGAGCUUUUCGUGCUUAGGAUGCUGGUGGAAUGGCUUUAAACGACCCGUCUUGA
This 612-nucleotide ribosomal RNA is filed under the name Phenoliferia aff. psychrophenolica GU63. RNAcentral describes it as "eukaryotic LSU rRNA". It matches the Rfam family "Eukaryotic large subunit ribosomal RNA", at positions 48 to 657 of the family's 3401-position model. Lineage: Eukaryota; Fungi; Basidiomycota; Microbotryomycetes; Kriegeriales; Kriegeriaceae. The record is from RNAcentral.